GGAGGGGUGGCUCAAGUGGUAGAGUGUGUGCUUUGCAAGCAUGAAGCCCUGGGUUCAAAUCCCAGUCCCUCCA
Molecule: non-coding RNA, 73 nt
Organism: Castor canadensis (American beaver)
Lineage: Eukaryota; Metazoa; Chordata; Mammalia; Rodentia; Castoridae
Source: the annotation of a RefSeq genome assembly